RNAcentral lists this ribosomal RNA (244 nucleotides) under uncultured bacterium. Its description in RNAcentral is "partial 16S ribosomal RNA". It matches the Rfam family "Bacterial small subunit ribosomal RNA", at positions 15 to 254 of the family's 1533-position model. The record is from RNAcentral.
GAUCCUGGCUCAGAUUGAACGCUGGCGGCAGGCUUAACACAUGCAAGUCGAACGGUAACAUAAAGAAGCUUGCUUCUUUGAUGACGAGUGGCGGACGGGUGAGUAAUGCUUGGGAAUCUAGCUUAUGGAGGGGGGAUAACUACGGGAAACUGUAGCUAAUACCGCGUAGAAUCGGGAGAUGAAAGUGUGGGACCUUCGGGCCACAUGCCAUAGGAUGAGCCCAAGUGGGAUUAGGUAGUUGGUG